Chytridium lagenaria is the source of this 79-nucleotide non-coding RNA. Lineage: Eukaryota; Fungi; Chytridiomycota; Chytridiomycetes; Chytridiales; Chytridiaceae. The record is from the annotation of a GenBank genome assembly.
GGGCAGAUGGCCGAGUGGUUUAAGGCGGUUGACUUAAGCUCAACUAACGAAAGUUGCAUGGUUCGAACCCAUCUGCCCA